This 865-nucleotide ribosomal RNA is filed under the name Triticum aestivum (bread wheat). Its description in RNAcentral is "partial small subunit ribosomal RNA". Lineage: Eukaryota; Viridiplantae; Streptophyta; Magnoliopsida; Poales; Poaceae. The record is from RNAcentral.
CAAAGGUAGUGGAAGGUCUGAGGGGCGGAGGCCGCUGGAUGUAUUUGAGGGAGGAGGAGCGGUAGUGUAGUGGUGGUUUCGUAAGGUGUUCUAAGUUGUUCGUUAGGUUGGGCUGCUCUAGCUAGCUCGAGCUCUAGUCGCUCGCUCUUACCGCCCGUACCACAAGCCGAACCUCUUGGGCUACUACUGCCGCGAGGUCGUGGACGACCUGUAGGGUCUACCGCUCCGGCCGCCUCGGCCACGGCCGGCGCCGCUCUUCGUCCCGGGCUGCGCGCGGAUGCAGGCCCUACGCGCGCGGUACCGCCGGUGGGGCCGCCUGCACUUCCUCGACGGCCCGCGCAUGCGCAAGCACCACCUGUACGGCCCCGACCCAAGGCCGCUGUAGUUCCACGUCCACCUCCUGCUCGCCCACGACCACUAGUCGCCGCUCGCCUCGUCCCUCCUCCUCCUCCUGCGGUUCAUGGACGCCUACCUCGCGGCGUACCCGUUCGACUACGCGUUCAAGCACGAGGGGCUCUUGCGGCUGUACCUCUUCUAGAGGCGGCGCACGGCGCUGCCGCACGACUGGCAGUGGCAGCUCUUCGACGGCGGCGGGCUCGGGUUCUUCGGGUUCUGGUAGGUCCAGGUCCAACGGACUCGACCAUACGUAACACACGCGCAGCUUAGCUUCGUCUCAAACUCACCGACUCACCCAUGACUCAAAGGACACUACUACUCACUACCAAAGAGACAGAAAACUAGAGCAGACGAUCUCUCUCACACACAGCAUAGCUAAGCACGCGUGACCACUACCAAACUACAAAGCAAUUACCUUUACCCCUACUAGAGGCCGAAGCGGACUUAUUUUGUACGCUAAGAGAACCGG